This 253-nucleotide ribosomal RNA is filed under the name uncultured bacterium. Its description in RNAcentral is "partial 16S ribosomal RNA". It matches the Rfam family "Bacterial small subunit ribosomal RNA", at positions 524 to 776 of the family's 1533-position model. The record is from RNAcentral.
UACGUAGGGGGCAAGCGUUGUUCGGAAUCACUGGGCGUAAAGCGCACGUAGGCGGAUUGCUAAGUCGGGGGUGAAAUCCUGGAGCUCAACUCCAGAACUGCCUUUGAUACUGGCGAUCUCGAGUUCGGGAGAGGUGAGUGGAACUGCGAGUGUAGAGGUGAAAUUCGUAGAUAUUCGCAAGAACACCAGUGGCGAAGGCGGCUCACUGGCCCGAUACUGACGCUGAGGUGCGAAAGCGUGGGGAGCAAACAGG